RNAcentral lists this ribosomal RNA (583 nucleotides) under Alternaria alternata f. sp. lycopersici. RNAcentral describes it as "eukaryotic LSU rRNA". The stretch from base 207 to 360 matches the Rfam family "5.8S ribosomal RNA". The record is from RNAcentral. Lineage: Eukaryota; Fungi; Ascomycota; Dothideomycetes; Pleosporales; Pleosporaceae.
GUAACAAGGCUCCGUAGGGUGAACCUGCGGAGGGAUCAUUACACAAAUAUGAAGGCGGGCUGGAAUCUCUCGGGGUUAAAGCCUUGCUGAAUUAUUCACCCUUGUCUUUUGCGUACUUCUUGUUUCCUUGGUGGGUUCGCCCACCACUAGGACAAACAUAAACCUUUUGUAAUUGCAAUCAGCGUCAGUAACAAAUUAAUAAUUACAACUUUCAACAACGGAUCUCUUGGUUCUGGCAUCGAUGAAGAACGCAGCGAAAUGCGAUAAGUAGUGUGAAUUGCAGAAUUCAGUGAAUCAUCGAAUCUUUGAACGCACAUUGCGCCCUUUGGUAUUCCAAAGGGCAUGCCUGUUCGAGCGUCAUUUGUACCCUCAAGCUUUGCUUGGUGUUGGGCGUCUUGUCUCUAGCUUUGCUGGAGACUCGCCUUAAAGUAAUUGGCAGCCGGCCUACUGGUUUCGGAGCGCAGCACAAGUCGCACUCUCUAUCAGCAAAGGUCUAGCAUCCAUUAAGCCUUUUUUUCAACUUUUGACCUCGGAUCAGGUAGGGAUACCCGCUGAACUUAUGCAUAUCAAUAAGCGGAGGAAA